Molecule: non-coding RNA, 185 nt
Filed under: Planktothricoides sp. SpSt-374
Lineage: Bacteria; Bacillati; Cyanobacteriota; Cyanophyceae; Oscillatoriales; Oscillatoriaceae
Also listed under: 1 other name
Description: 6S RNA
Rfam family: 6S / SsrS RNA
About the family: E. coli 6S RNA was the first non coding RNA to be sequenced, but its function was unknown until recently. It consists of 184 nucleotides that fold into an extended hairpin structure with a large single-stranded internal bulge.
Source: RNAcentral
GUUCUACUGCGGCGUUGGUGACUACCAACAUAGUUUUACGAUCUAUGUCUAAGUUUAUAAGGGAGUCAAAGAUGCUCUAGCGGCAGUAAACCGAGCUUGUACUCGGAAACUUUAAGCAGGAGCCAUGAUGCCCACCUGGAUAUUCCAGGUCGAAAACUGAGGUAAGACGGCGUUGCGGGGAACCC